GGGUUGUGAGGUUAAGCGACUAAGCGUACACGGUGGAUGCCCUGGCAGUCAGAGGCGAUGAAGGACGUGCUAAUCUGCGAUAAGCGUCGGUAAGGUGAUAUGAACCGUUAUAACCGGCGAUUUCCGAAUGGGGAAACCCAGUGUGAUUCGUCACACUAUCAUUAACUGAAUCCAUAGGUUAAUGAGGCGAACCGGGGGAACUGAAACAUCUAAGUACCCCGAGGAAAAGAAAUCAACCGAGAUUCCCCCAGUAGCGGCGAGCGAACGGGGAGGAGCCCAGAGCCUGAAUCAGUGUGUGUGUUAGUGGAAGCGUCUGGAAAGGCGCGCGAUACAGGGUGACAGCCCCGUACACAAAAAUGCACAUGCUGUGAGCUCGAUGAGUAGGGCGGGACACGUGGUAUCCUGUCUGAAUAUGGGGGGACCAUCCUCCAAGGCUAAAUACUCCUGACUGACCGAUAGUGAACCAGUACCGUGAGGGAAAGGCGAAAAGAACCCCGGCGAGGGGAGUGAAAAAGAACCUGAAACCGUGUACGUACAAGCAGUGGGAGCACAGAGCAAUCUGUGUGACUGCGUACCUUUUGUAUAAUGGGUCAGCGACUUAUAUUCUGUAGCAAGGUUAACCGAAUAGGGGAGCCGAAGGGAAACCGAGUCUUAACUGGGCGUUAAGUUGCAGGGUAUAGACCCGAAACCCGGUGAUCUAGCCAUGGGCAGGUUGAAGGUUGGGUAACACUAACUGGAGGACCGAACCGACUAAUGUUGAAAAAUUAGCGGAUGACUUGUGGCUGGGGGUGAAAGGCCAAUCAAACCGGGAGAUAGCUGGUUCUCCCCGAAAGCUAUUUAGGUAGCGCCUCGUGAAUUCAUCUCCGGGGGUAGAGCACUGUUUCGGCAAGGGGGUCAUCCCGACUUACCAACCCGAUGCAAACUGCGAAUACCGGAGAAUGUUAUCACGGGAGACACACGGCGGGUGCUAACGUCCGUCGUGAAGAGGGAAACAACCCAGACCGCCAGCUAAGGUCCCAAAGUCAUGGUUAAGUGGGAAACGAUGUGGGAAGGCCCAGACAGCCAGGAUGUUGGCUUAGAAGCAGCCAUCAUUUAAAGAAAGCGUAAUAGCUCACUGGUCGAGUCGGCCUGCGCGGAAGAUGUAACGGGGCUAAACCAUGCACCGAAGCUGCGGCAGCGACACUAUGUGUUGUUGGGUAGGGGAGCGUUCUGUAAGCCUGUGAAGGUGUACUGUGAGGUAUGCUGGAGGUAUCAGAAGUGCGAAUGCUGACAUAAGUAACGAUAAAGCGGGUGAAAAGCCCGCUCGCCGGAAGACCAAGGGUUCCUGUCCAACGUUAAUCGGGGCAGGGUGAGUCGACCCCUAAGGCGAGGCCGAAAGGCGUAGUCGAUGGGAAACAGGUUAAUAUUCCUGUACUUGGUGUUACUGCGAAGGGGGGACGGAGAAGGCUAUGUUGGCCGGGCGACGGUUGUCCCGGUUUAAGCGUGUAGGCUGGUUUUCCAGGCAAAUCCGGAAAAUCAAGGCUGAGGCGUGAUGACGAGGCACUACGGUGCUGAAGCAACAAAUGCCCUGCUUCCAGGAAAAGCCUCUAAGCAUCAGGUAACAUCAAAUCGUACCCCAAACCGACACAGGUGGUCAGGUAGAGAAUACCAAGGCGCUUGAGAGAACUCGGGUGAAGGAACUAGGCAAAAUGGUGCCGUAACUUCGGGAGAAGGCACGCUGAUAUGUAGGUGAAGUCCCUCGCGGAUGGAGCUGAAAUCAGUCGAAGAUACCAGCUGGCUGCAACUGUUUAUUAAAAACACAGCACUGUGCAAACACGAAAGUGGACGUAUACGGUGUGACGCCUGCCCGGUGCCGGAAGGUUAAUUGAUGGGGUCAGCGCAAGCGAAGCUCUUGAUCGAAGCCCCGGUAAACGGCGGCCGUAACUAUAACGGUCCUAAGGUAGCGAAAUUCCUUGUCGGGUAAGUUCCGACCUGCACGAAUGGCGUAAUGAUGGCCAGGCUGUCUCCACCCGAGACUCAGUGAAAUUGAACUCGCUGUGAAGAUGCAGUGUACCCGCGGCAAGACGGAAAGACCCCGUGAACCUUUACUAUAGCUUGACACUGAACAUUGAGCCUUGAUGUGUAGGAUAGGUGGGAGGCUUUGAAGUGUGGACGCCAGUCUGCAUGGAGCCGGCCUUGAAAUACCACCCUUUAAUGUUUGAUGUUCUAACGUUGACCCGUGAUCCGGGUUGCGGACAGUGUCUGGUGGGUAGUUUGACUGGGGCGGUCUCCUCCUAAAGAGUAACGGAGGAGCACGAAGGUUGGCUAAUCCUGGUCGGACAUCAGGAGGUUAGUGCAAUGGCAUAAGCCAGCUUGACUGCGAGCGUGACGGCGCGAGCAGGUGCGAAAGCAGGUCAUAGUGAUCCGGUGGUUCUGAAUGGAAGGGCCAUCGCUCAACGGAUAAAAGGUACUCCGGGGAUAACAGGCUGAUACCGCCCAAGAGUUCAUAUCGACGGCGGUGUUUGGCACCUCGAUGUCGGCUCAUCACAUCCUGGGGCUGAAGUAGGUCCCAAGGGUAUGGCUGUUCGCCAUUUAAAGUGGUACGCGAGCUGGGUUUAGAACGUCGUGAGACAGUUCGGUCCCUAUCUGCCGUGGGCGCUGGAGAACUGAGGGGGGCUGCUCCUAGUACGAGAGGACCGGAGUGGACGCAUCACUGGUGUUCGGGUUGUCAUGCCAAUGGCACUGCCCGGUAGCUAAAUGCGGAAGAGAUAAGUGCUGAAAGCAUCUAAGCACGAAACUUGCCCCGAGAUGAGUUCUCCCUGACUCCUUGAGAGUCCUGAAGGAACGUUGAAGACGACGACGUUGAUAGGCCGGGUGUGUAAGCGCAGCGAUGCGUUGAGCUAACCGGUACUAAUGAACCGUGAGGCUUAACCUUACAACGCCGAAGCUGUU
This 2931-nucleotide ribosomal RNA is filed under the name Escherichia coli. RNAcentral's name for it is "23S ribosomal RNA". It matches the Rfam family "Bacterial large subunit ribosomal RNA". The record is from RNAcentral. Lineage: Bacteria; Pseudomonadati; Pseudomonadota; Gammaproteobacteria; Enterobacterales; Enterobacteriaceae.